AACGAACGCUGGCGGCGUGGAUAAGACAUGCAAGUCGAACGGGACUAAAUCUGCAGCAAUACAGGUUUAGUUUAGUGGCGAACGGGUGCGUAACACGUGGACAAUCUGCCUUAAAGUGGGGGAUAGCUCGGCGAAAGCCGAAUUAAUACUGCAUGUGAUGAGAGACGACAUCGUCUUGAAAUCAAAGCCGGGGCAACCUGGCGCUUUUGAGGAGUCCGCGGCCUANCAGCUUGUUGG
Molecule: ribosomal RNA, 237 nt
Filed under: uncultured bacterium
Lineage: Bacteria
Description: partial 16S ribosomal RNA
Rfam family: Bacterial small subunit ribosomal RNA
Source: RNAcentral